This 450-nucleotide ribosomal RNA is filed under the name uncultured bacterium. RNAcentral's name for it is "partial 16S ribosomal RNA". It matches the Rfam family "Bacterial small subunit ribosomal RNA", at positions 354 to 796 of the family's 1533-position model. The record is from RNAcentral.
GUGGGGAAUUUUGGACAAUGGGCGAAAGCCUGAUCCAGCCAUGCCGCGUGCAGGAUGAAGGCCUUCGGGUUGUAAACUGCUUUUGUACGGAACGAAAAGACUCCUUCUAAUAAAGGGGGUCCAUGACGGUACCGUAAGAAUAAGCACCGGCUAACUACGUGCCAGCAGCCGCGGUAAUACGUAGGGUGCAAGCGUUAAUCGGAAUUACUGGGUGUAAAGCGUGCGCAGGCGGUUAUAUAAGACAGAUGUGAAAUCCCCGGGCUCAACCUGGGAACUGCAUUUGUGACUGUAUAGCUAGAGUACGGUAGAGGGGGAUGGAAUUCCGCGUGUAGCAGUGAAAUGCGUAGAUAUGCGGAGGAACACCGAUGGCGAAGGCAAUCCCCUGGACCUGUACUGACGCUCAUGCACGAAAGCGUGGGGAGCAAACAGGAUUAGAUACCCGUGUAGUCC